Molecule: ribosomal RNA, 435 nt
Filed under: uncultured bacterium
Lineage: Bacteria
Description: partial 16S ribosomal RNA
Rfam family: Bacterial small subunit ribosomal RNA
Source: RNAcentral
GAUGAACGCUGGCGGUAUGCUUAACACAUGCCAGUCGAACGGACUCUUCGGAGUUAGUGGCGGACGGGUGAGUAACGCGUGAGAAUCUGGCUUUGGGUUCGGGACAACCACUGGAAACGGUGGCUAAUACCGGAUGUGCCGAGAGGUAAAAGAGAAAUUGCCUGAAGAUGAGCUCGCGUCUGAUUAGCUAGUUGGUGAGGUAAAGGCUCACCAAGGCAGCGAUCAGUAGCUGGUCUGAGAGGAUGACCAGCCACACUGGGACUGAGACACGGCCCAGACUCCUACGGGAGGCAGCAGUGGGGAAUGAUCCGCAAUGGGCGAAAGACUGACGGAGCAAUACCGCGUGAGGGAAGAAGGCUCUUGGGUUGUAAACAUCUUUUCUUAGGGAAGAACAAAAUGACGGUACCUAAGGAAUCAGCAUCGGCUAACUCCGUG